Molecule: ribosomal RNA, 509 nt
Filed under: uncultured bacterium
Lineage: Bacteria
Description: bacterial SSU rRNA
Rfam family: Bacterial small subunit ribosomal RNA
Source: RNAcentral
AGAGUUGAUUCUGGCUCAGGAUGAACGCUGGCGGCGUGCCUAACACAUGCAAGUCGAACGGAAACAUGACGCUCGGAGGCUUCGGCCAAUGUUGUUUGUUUAGUGGCGGACGGGUGAGUAACGCGUGGAUAACCUGCCAUAUACAGGGGGAUAACAGUUAGAAAUGACUGCUAAUACCGCAUAAGCGCACGGAACCGCAUGAUUCUGUGUGAAAAAACUCCGGUGGUAUAUGAUGGAUCCGCGUCUGAUUAGCCAGUUGGCGGGGUAACGGCCCACCAAAGCGACGAUCAGUAGCCGGCCUGAGAGGGUGAACGGCCACAUUGGGACUGAGACACGGCCCAAACUCCUACGGGAGGCAGCAGUGGGGGAUAUUGCACAAUGGGGGAAACCCUGAUGCAAGCGACGCCGCGUGAGUGAAGAAGUAUUUCGGUAUGUAAAGCUCUAUCAGCAGGGAAGAUAAUGACGGUACCUGACUAAGAAGCACCGGCUAAAUACGUGCCAGCCGCCGC